RNAcentral lists this ribosomal RNA (1045 nucleotides) under uncultured Syntrophus sp. RNAcentral describes it as "bacterial SSU rRNA". It matches the Rfam family "Bacterial small subunit ribosomal RNA", at positions 38 to 1047 of the family's 1533-position model. Lineage: Bacteria; Pseudomonadati; Thermodesulfobacteriota; Syntrophia; Syntrophales; Syntrophaceae. The record is from RNAcentral.
AGAAGCGGNGNGCUANNACAUGCAAGUCGUACGAGAAAGGGUCCUUCGGGACCUGAGUAAAGUGGCGCACGGGUGAGUAACGCGUGGAUAAUCUGCCCUUGAGUCGGGAAUAACUCAUCGAAAGGUGGGCUAAUACCGGAUAAUGCUGUUUUCGCUUUGGCGAGACAGCCAAAGGGGGCCUCUAUUUAUAAGCUCUUGCUUAAGGAUGAGUCCGCGUACCAUUAGCUAGUUGGUGGGGUAAUGGCCUACCAAGGCGACGAUGGUUAGCUGGUCUGAGAGGAUGAUCAGCCACACUGGAACUGAGACACGGUCCAGACUCCUACGGGAGGCAGCAGUGAGGAAUCUUGCGCAAUGGGGGCAACCCUGACGCAGCAACGCCGCGUGAGUGAGGAAGGUUUUCGGAUUGUAAAGCUCUGUCGGGUGGAAAGAAAUGCAUGGGGGCUAAUACCUCUCAUGCUUGACGGUACCACCAAAGGAAGCACCGGCUAACUCCGUGCCAGCAGCCGCGGUAAUACGGGGGGUGCAAGCGUUGUUCGGAAUUAUUGGGCGUAAAGAGCGUGUAGGCGGCUUGAUAAGCCAGAUGUGAAAGCCCUGGGCUUAACCCAGGAAGUGCAUUUGAAACUGUCUCGCUAGAGUAAGGGAGGGGGAAGUGGAAUUCCUGGUGUAGAGGUGGAAUUCGUAGAUAUCAGGAGGAACACCGGUGGCGAAGGCGACUUCCUGGCCCUAUACUGACGCUGAGACACGAGAGCGUGGGUAGCAAACAGGAUUAGAUACCCUGGUAGUCCACGCCGUAAACGAUGUUCACUAGGUGUUGGGGGUAUUGACCCCCUCAGUGCCGGAGCUAACGCAUUAAGUGAACCGCCUGGGGAGUACGGUCGCAAGACUAAAACUCAAAGGAAUUGACGGGGGCCCGCACAAGCGGUGGAGCAUGUGGUUUAAUUCGAUGCAACGCGAAGAACCCUUACCUGGACUUGACAUCCACGGAACCUGCUGGGAAACAGGUGGGGGUGCCCUUCGGGGGAGGCCGUGAGACAGGUGCUGCAUG